This is a long non-coding RNA of Mus caroli (Ryukyu mouse), 499 nucleotides long. RefSeq lists it as uncharacterized. NCBI's taxonomy places the organism in Eukaryota, Metazoa, Chordata, Mammalia, Rodentia, Muridae. The record is from RefSeq and is a predicted model, not a curated record.
AAAGUUCAGAAAGAUUAUGUGCUCACCAUCAUGUGGUCCAGAUCUGUGCCCAGAAUACCUGAUUCCUAAGCCCAUGUGAGUUCUUCCGUACCACACCACCUUCUUCAAAGAAUGAGGAGGAAGUAUAGAGGAAGAAAAGUGAAAAACGAAAUGAGUUCUCUGAAAUUCAACACAGGGUCUGUCAUGUUCAGAACAGGAUUGGCUGGGUGAAGGGGUGUGGCACCAGUAACCCUCAGGAAUACAGGCCACAGAGCUAAUGAAGAGCCCCAAGGAAAGAAAGACCUACCCAUCGCUCUGAAUCCUCUCCCCCACCAUGCCACAGACCUGAGGGCACGUGACCCAGGAAUGUGCAUCUGAAGAUAAUACUACCUUCAGAGAACUCUACUUAUAGCCCAGCUGGAUCUGUAUAAAUAGGAAAGUAAUGGUAGAGAAACUGCACAGACAUGGAUAAGCAGUCCUGCCAGUUGGUCAAUGACUUCGGGUGUUUUCAACCAGAUGC